GUGCCAGCCGCCGCGGUAAUACGGAAGGUCCGGGCGUUAUCCGGAUUUAUUGGGUUUAAAGGGAGCGCAGGCGGGCUGAUAAGCGUGCUGUGAAAUGUACCGGCUCAACCGGUGACCUGCAGCGCGAACUGUCGGUCUUGAGUGAGUACGAUGUAGGCGGAAUUCGUGGUGUAGCGGUGAAAUGCUUAGAUAUCACGAAGAACCCCGAUUGCGAAGGCAGCCUACAAGUCCUUUACUGACGCUAAAGCUCGAAGGUGCGGGUAUCGAACAGGAUUAGAUACCCUGGUAGUCCGCACGGUAAACGAUGGAUGCCCGCUGUCGGCGACAGACUGUCGGCGGCCAAGCGAAAGCGUUAAGCAUCCCACCUGGGGAGUACGCCGGCAACGGUGAAACUCAAAGGAAUUGACGGGGGCCCGCACAAGCGGAGGAACAUGUGGUUUAAUUCGAUGAUACGCGAGGAACCUUACCCGGGCUUGAACUGCAGCAGAACGAUUCAGAGAUGAUGAGGUCCUUCGGGACUGCUGUGGAGGUGCUGCAUGGUUGUCGUCAGCUCGUGCCGUGAGGUGUCGGCUUAAGUGCCAUAACGAGCGCAACCCCUGUCGCCAGUUGCCAUCAGGCGAUGCUGGGCACUCUGGUGAUACUGCCACCGUAAGGUGCGAGGAAGGUGGGGAUGACGUCAAAUCAGCACGGCCCUUACGUCCGGGGCUACACACGUGUUACAAUGGGUGGUACAGAGAGUCGGGCGCCGGCAACGUCGCCCCAAUCUACAAAGCCAUCCUCAGUUCGGAUUGGGGUCUGCAACCCGACCCCAUGAAGCUGGAUUCGCUAGUAAUCGCGCAUCAGCCAUGGCGCGGUGAAUACGUUCCCGGGCCUUGCACACACCGCCCGU
RNAcentral lists this ribosomal RNA (889 nucleotides) under uncultured bacterium. Its description in RNAcentral is "bacterial SSU rRNA". It matches the Rfam family "Bacterial small subunit ribosomal RNA", at positions 505 to 1397 of the family's 1533-position model. The record is from RNAcentral.